This 491-nucleotide long non-coding RNA is filed under the name Vitis vinifera (wine grape). Its description in RNAcentral is "long non-coding RNA (VVIN_LNC006891)". Lineage: Eukaryota; Viridiplantae; Streptophyta; Magnoliopsida; Vitales; Vitaceae. The record is from RNAcentral.
CAUAACUGAUAUCUCCCUCUUCACCUGCUCCGUCAUCCCCACUUUUAUCACCUUAUCCUUACCCACCACUUUCAUCGCUACACUCUUCCCUGUCUGCAAGUUCCGGGCAUGAUACACCUUGGCGAAGGUGCCGUGACCCAGAAGCCGUCCCAGCUCGUAUUUACCGUGAAGCAAAGACGGGCACGAAUCUUUACCCGAAUCCGCCAUUGUUUAUACACAAGAAACAACUAAAUCAAACAAAAUGAAAUUGACAAUAUUACAAUACUAUCGACUCUAGCCGGAGCGAUGCAACUACCCGUCUUCAACGUGUUUCCGAUGACAGUUCCUACCGCCGACGGGCCUUUUGGCCCAUCGCUCAGGAUUUGAUAGCGUAACUCUCCUCAUCUCUCAGCAUUCCCAGAGAGACUCAAGGCUCUCUUCACAAAAUAUAACUUGAUUAAAUUUCUAGGCUUCUGCAGAUUCAGUUGCCGCAGUUUGGCCUCUUCCCCUCU